GCAGUGGGGAAUUUUGGACAAUGGGCGCAAGCCUGAUCCAGCAAUGCCGCGUGAGUGAAGAAGGCCUUCGGGUUGUAAAGCUCUUUUGUCAGGGAAGAAACGGUGAGGGCUAAUAUCCUUUGCUAAUGACGGUACCUGAAGAAUAAGCACCGGCUAACUACGUGCCAGCAGCCGCGGUAAUACGUAGGGUGCAAGCGUUAAUCGGAAUUACUGGGCGUAAAGCGUGCGCAGGCGGUUUUGUAAGUUUGUCGUGAAAGCCCCGGGCUCAACCUGGGAAUUGCGAUGAAGACUGCAAGGCUUGAAUCUGGCAGAGGGGGGUAGAAUUCCACGUGUAGCAGUGAAAUGCGUAGAGAUGUGGAGGAACACCGAUGGCGAAGGCAGCCCCCUGGGUCAAGAUUGACGCUCAUGCACGAAAGCGUGGGGAGCAAACAGGAUUAGAUACCCUGGUAGUCCACGCCCUAAACGAUGUCUACUAGUUGUCGGGUUUUAAUUAACUUGGUAACGCAGCUAACGCGUGAAGUAGACC
RNAcentral lists this ribosomal RNA (526 nucleotides) under uncultured Janthinobacterium sp. RNAcentral describes it as "bacterial SSU rRNA". It matches the Rfam family "Bacterial small subunit ribosomal RNA", at positions 351 to 870 of the family's 1533-position model. Lineage: Bacteria; Pseudomonadati; Pseudomonadota; Betaproteobacteria; Burkholderiales; Oxalobacteraceae. The record is from RNAcentral.